This 480-nucleotide long non-coding RNA is filed under the name Phoenix dactylifera (date palm). RNAcentral describes it as "long non-coding RNA (PDAC_LNC011120)". The record is from RNAcentral. Lineage: Eukaryota; Viridiplantae; Streptophyta; Magnoliopsida; Arecales; Arecaceae.
GAUUCCUGAUUAAAUAAUACCAAAAGAAAAUUCAAAAAUUAGUAAGAGAGAGAAAGGAGAUAAGAAAAGUAAAAAAAUAGAAAAUAUUUUUAUUUUAUUUUAGAUAUAUAUUAUUAUUUUAUUUUUUAUUUUUAUUUUUUUGAAAAUUUUUUUUGAAAAGAAAAACAACUAUGCUAGCAAUCCCCGGCAACGGCGCCAAAAAUUGAUAGUCAAUUUUAAAGACCACGCAAUAGCACGUACCUAGUAGGAUAGUGAUUACGGGUAUCGAUCCACAGGGAUUGGGAUGUAGUUAUUUUCUUAAAAAAAAUUUAAAAAGAUAGUUUGCGAAGACUAUUAAACUAAGCAAGUUAAUAAGAAAUGCAAUUAAAAUGAUAUCAGUUUGGGAAAACCUAGGGCAAGAAAUUCACCACUAACAUCGGAACAAGGGUUAUUUGUAUUUUAAUUUAUUCUUGGAUUAACAUGCAAAUUGGCUACAAGCCU